UACGUAGGGUGCAAGCGUUAAUCGGAAUUACUGGGCGUAAAGCGUGCGCAGGCGGUUCUAUAAGACAGAUGUGAAAUCCCCAGGCUUAACCUGGGAACUGCAUUCGAGACUGCAUUGCUAGAGUAUGGGAGAGGGAAGUGGAAUUUCAGGUGUAGCGGUGAAAUGCGUAGAUAUCUGAAGGAACAUCAGUGGCGAAAGCGACUUCCUGGACCAAUACUGACGCUCAUGUGCGAAAGCGUGGGGAGCAAACAGG
RNAcentral lists this ribosomal RNA (253 nucleotides) under uncultured bacterium. RNAcentral's name for it is "partial 16S ribosomal RNA". It matches the Rfam family "Bacterial small subunit ribosomal RNA", at positions 524 to 776 of the family's 1533-position model. The record is from RNAcentral.